RNAcentral lists this ribosomal RNA (282 nucleotides) under Pseudomonas sp. HMSC066A08. Its description in RNAcentral is "partial 23S ribosomal RNA". It matches the Rfam family "Bacterial large subunit ribosomal RNA", at positions 1020 to 1303 of the family's 2925-position model. The record is from RNAcentral. Lineage: Bacteria; Pseudomonadati; Pseudomonadota; Gammaproteobacteria; Pseudomonadales; Pseudomonadaceae.
AAACAACCCAGACCGCCAGCUAAGGUCCCAAAGUUGUGGUUAAGUGGUAAACGAUGUGGGAAGGCUUAGACAGCUAGGAGGUUGGCUUAGAAGCAGCCAUCCUUUAAAGAAAGCGUAAUAGCUCACUAGUCGAGUCGGCCUGCGCGGAAGAUGUAACGGGGCUCAAACCACACACCGAAGCUGCGGGUGUCACGCAAGUGACGCGGUAGAGGAGCGUUCUGUAAGCCUGUGAAGGUGAGUUGAGAAGCUUGCUGGAGGUAUCAGAAGUGCGAAUGCUGACAU